GGGCCCGCACAAGCGGAGGAGCAUGUGGUUUAAUUCGAUGAUACGCGAGGAACCUUACCUGGGCUUGAAUGCUAUACACCAGCAAUGGUGGUGAUUGCAGAAAUGUAGUCGAAAAUUGCAAGGUGCUGCAUGGCUGUCGUCAGCUCGUGCCGUGAGGUGUCGGGUUAAGUCCCAUAACGAGCGCAACCCCUAUUAUUAGUUGCCAUCAGGUAAUGCUGGGCACUCUAAUGAAACUGCCUACGCAAGUAGUGAGGAAGGUGGGGAUGACGUCAAGUCAGCACGGCCCUUACGCCCAGGGCUACACACGUGCUACAAUGGCCGGUACAGAGGGCAGCUACCAGGUGACUGGAUGCAAAUCUCUAAAGCCGGUCUCAGUUCGGAUCGAAGUCUGCAACUCGACUUCGUGAAGUUGGAUUCGCUAGUAAUCGGAUAUCAGCAAUGAUCCGGUGAAUACGUUCCCGGGCCUU
Molecule: ribosomal RNA, 467 nt
Filed under: uncultured bacterium
Lineage: Bacteria
Description: bacterial SSU rRNA
Rfam family: Bacterial small subunit ribosomal RNA
Source: RNAcentral